AAAGUCGUAACAAGGUUUCCGUAGGUGAACCUGCGGAAGGAUCAUUACAUGUGGCGCGCCGAAAGGCCGCCGCUUGGGAUAGAACCCUUGCCUUUUUCGAGUACCGUACCGUUUCCUCGGCAGGCUCGCCUGCCAAUGGGGACCCCACACAAAACCUUUUGCAACCAACCUGAACGCAGUCUGACAGAAAAACAAAUAUAAAUCAAAACUUUCAACAACGGAUCUCUUGGUUCUG
Molecule: unclassified non-coding RNA, 235 nt
Filed under: Ascomycota sp.
Lineage: Eukaryota; Fungi; Ascomycota
Description: partial contains small subunit ribosomal RNA, internal transcribed spacer 1, and 5.8S ribosomal RNA
Rfam family: Eukaryotic small subunit ribosomal RNA (bases 1-47)
Source: RNAcentral